CCGGCGACCGGCGCACGGGUGAGUAACACGUAUGCAACCUGCCCUCUUCAGGGGACGAACCUUCCGAAAGGGAGGCUAAUCCCGCGUAUAUCGGUUUCGGGCAUCCGAGAUCGAGGAAAGAUUCAUCGGAAGAGGAUGGGCAUGCGGCGCAUUAGCUAGACGGCGGGGUAACGGCCCACCGUGGCGACGAUGCGUAGGGGUUCUGAGAGGAAGGUCCCCCACACUGGUACUGAGACACGGACCAGACUCCUACGGGAGGCAGCAG
Molecule: ribosomal RNA, 265 nt
Filed under: uncultured bacterium
Lineage: Bacteria
Description: partial 16S ribosomal RNA
Rfam family: Bacterial small subunit ribosomal RNA
Source: RNAcentral